GACGAACGCUGGCGGCGUGCUUAACACAUGCAAGUCGAACGGAAAGGCCCCUUUGGGGGUACUCGAGUGGCGAACGGGUGAGUAACACGUUAGUAACCUUCCCUUGACUUCGGGAUAACUGCAGGAAACUGGGGCUAAUACCGGAUAGGAAUCCUUGCUGCAUGGUGGGGGUUGGAAAGCUUCGGCGGUUUUGGAUGGACUCGCGGCUUAUCAGCUUGUUGGUGGGGUAGUGGCUUACCAAGGCGUUGACGGGUAGCCGGACUGAGAGGGCGACCGGCCACAUUGGGACUGAGAUACGGCCCAGACUCCUACGGGAGGCAGCAGUGGGGAAUAUUGCACCAUGGGCGGAAGCCUGAUGCAGCAACGCCGCGUGCGGGAUGACGGCCUUAGGGUUGUAAACCGCUUUCAGCAGGGGCGAAGCUUGUGGUGACGGUACCUGCAGAAGAAGCACCGGCUAACUACGUG
This 465-nucleotide ribosomal RNA is filed under the name uncultured bacterium. Its description in RNAcentral is "partial 16S ribosomal RNA". It matches the Rfam family "Bacterial small subunit ribosomal RNA", at positions 28 to 507 of the family's 1533-position model. The record is from RNAcentral.